RNAcentral lists this long non-coding RNA (1393 nucleotides) under Homo sapiens (human). RNAcentral's name for it is "non-protein coding lnc-SPTSSB-8:1". Lineage: Eukaryota; Metazoa; Chordata; Mammalia; Primates; Hominidae. The record is from RNAcentral.
CUAAGACUCCCUGACUCUCAAACUGUGCCCAGCACAUAGAAGACUCCCAACUAAUAUUUGUGGAAUGAGUGAAUGAACUACUCACUUUUUACAUGAAAGUUGGCCCUGUGAAGGGUUAGAUUGGUCAGAGAAGACCUCAUGGUAAGAACCGCAGAACUUUCAGCAUGUAACAACUCCAUCCAAACCUCUGUACUAAAGAGAAAUGCACCAAACUCUAGCCUGGCUUCUAGCAGCAGAAGGCGAUGUCCGUAGGAUGGCCCCAGCCCUGUAUUAACAUGUCUGCCUGAGAAAGCCUAGAGCUGCCAGGAGAAUUUUCUGUUCGUCCCAGACCUCUAUUGGGGCUCAAAAACCAAUACCCCAAAAUAUGAUGCUUUGACAUGCUGAACCAAGGAAGCAGCCUCAAUGUCUCUCUGACCUCCCCUCACUACUGUCUCUCAAUCCUCUGGCUCUCCCAAAGCACAGAAUGAAGUUGUUCUCUGAAGUUCCCAUAUCUGCCUAAAUGCCAGACCCACCAAAGAAGAAAACAAUUUCCUCUUGCCUCUGGUUAUUUCCCUGAGUUUUUAUUAACUUAACUCAUAUUGCAGGAAAGAAGACUGAAGUAUGUCAACACACCUGGACAGACUUUUCUCACAAACCAUUGUCUGCUCUGCAGGCCCAACAGACUUUGUUCCAGGCCAUUGUAUGUUCUUCAAGCCCAGUGAAUUCCCCUGAAAAUCAUUUACUAUCCCCCUAAAAUCAUCACACUUCCCCAUCUCUCUUUCCCCUAAGUAAAGGAAGAAGGGGUAUAUAACCAUUUUUGCCCCAUUGCGUGGUGGGGUAGUCACUCUGAUUCUCCCCCAGGGACAUUAAUAAAUCUAUAUACCACUUCUAUUAGUAGUAGUAGUAGUAUUUCUGAGAGAGGGGCUCACUCUGCCACCCAGACUGGAGUGCAGUGUUAUGAUCUCGGCUCACUGCAGCCUCCACCUCUCCAGAUCAAAUGAUCCUCCCACCACAGCCUCUCAAGUAGCUGGGACUACAGGUAUGUACAACCAAGCCUAGAUAAUUUUUAAAUUUUUGUAGAGAUGGGAUCUCACUGUAUUGCCCAGACUGGUCUUGAACUUCUGGGCUCAAGCAAUCCUCCUGCCUUGGCCUCCCAAAGUGUUGAUAUUGCAGGUGUAAACCACUACGCCUGGUCUAUGGAUGUUAUUUCUCUUAUUAAAUCUGCCUUUUGUCAACUGACUUUCAGUGAACCUUCAGAGGACAAAGGAGAAGUUUUCCCUUGGCCCCUAUACCUCCUCUUAUUAAAGCAUUUACUGUAAAGGCCUUACAAUCAUGAAUCCUUCCUCUGUCCCUUUGAGAUGUAUAUAUAUCUCCUGCAAUUUAGGAUUGUCUUUCUCAAAGAUCUGAAGACCAU